RNAcentral lists this ribosomal RNA (253 nucleotides) under uncultured bacterium. RNAcentral describes it as "partial 16S ribosomal RNA". It matches the Rfam family "Bacterial small subunit ribosomal RNA", at positions 524 to 776 of the family's 1533-position model. The record is from RNAcentral.
UACAGAGGUGGCAAGCGUUGUUCGGAAUUACUGGGCGUAAAGGGCGAGUAGGUGGCCAUCUAAGUCAGACGUGAAAUCCCCCGGCUUAACCUGGGAACUGCGUCUGAUACUGGACGGCUUGAGUAUGGGAGAGGAACGUAGAAUUCCAGGUGUAGCGGUGAAAUGCGUAGAUAUCUGGAGGAAUACCGGUGGCGAAGGCGGCGUUCUGGACCAUUACUGACGCUGAGGCACGAAAGCGUGGGUAGCAAACAGG